CAGGAUGAACGCUAGCUACAGGCUUAACACAUGCAAGUCGAGGGCAGCAUAUCGAAGCUGCUUGAUAGAUGGCGACCGGCGCACGGGUGAGUAACGCGUAUCCAACCUUCCCUAUAGUAGAGAAUAGCCCGGCGAAAGUCGGAUUAAUGCUCUAUGUUGUAUUUAGAGGACAUCUGAAGAAUACCAAAGGUUUACCGCUAUAGGAUGGGGAUGCGUCUGAUUAGGUAGUAGGCGGGGUAACGGCCCACCUAGCCGACGAUCAGUAGGGGUUCUGAGAGGAAGGUCCCCCACAUUGGAACUGAGACACGGUCCAAACUCCUACGGGAGGCAGCAGUGAGGAAUAUUGGUCAAUGGACGAAAGUCUGAACCAGCCAAGUAGCGUGCAGGAUGACGGCCCUAUGGGUUGUAAACUGCUUUUAUAUAGGGAUAAAGUCGGGGACGUGUCCCCGUUUGUAGGUACUAUAUGAAUAAGGACCGGCUAAUUCCGUGCCAGCAGCUGC
This 500-nucleotide ribosomal RNA is filed under the name uncultured bacterium. RNAcentral describes it as "bacterial SSU rRNA". It matches the Rfam family "Bacterial small subunit ribosomal RNA", at positions 25 to 518 of the family's 1533-position model. The record is from RNAcentral.